GCUGGGCGUGGUGGCACACACCUGUAGUUCAAGGCACUCAGAAGGCUGAGAUGGAGGAUCGCUUGAGUCUAGAAGUUCUGGGCUGCAGUGCGCUAUACCAAUCGGGUAUCCGCACUAAGUUCGGCAUGAGGGAGCAGGGGACCAUCAGCUUGGCUAAGGAGGGGUGAACUGGCCCAGGUCAGAAACGGAGCAGGUCACAACUCCCAUGCAGAUCAAAGCUUUGGACUGAGGAAAAGGAUGCAAGCAAUCCCAGCCCAAGCUUAAAAGUAGCAUUAAUCGUUCU
RNAcentral lists this signal recognition particle RNA (283 nucleotides) under Chinchilla lanigera (long-tailed chinchilla). RNAcentral's name for it is "Metazoan signal recognition particle RNA (ENSCLAG00000021695.1)". It matches the Rfam family "Metazoan signal recognition particle RNA". From Rfam's summary of the family: The signal recognition particle (SRP) is a universally conserved ribonucleoprotein. It is involved in the co-translational targeting of proteins to membranes. The record is from Rfam by way of RNAcentral. Lineage: Eukaryota; Metazoa; Chordata; Mammalia; Rodentia; Chinchillidae.